Molecule: non-coding RNA, 73 nt
Organism: Ciona savignyi (Pacific transparent sea squirt)
Lineage: Eukaryota; Metazoa; Chordata; Ascidiacea; Phlebobranchia; Cionidae
Source: Rfam
GUUUCCGUAGUGUAGCGGUUAUCACGUUCGCCUCACACGCGAAAGGUCCCCGGUUCGAACCCGGGCGGAAACA